CAAUUGGAGAGUUUGAUCCUGGCUCAGAGUGAACGCUGGCGGCGUGGUUUAGGCAUGCAAGUCGAACGAUACCGCAAGGUAUAGUGGCAAAAGGGUGCGUAACGCGUGAGCAAUCUACCUUUAAGUGGGGAAUAACCCUGGGAAACCGGGGCUAAAACCGCAUAUGACCACGGCUCGGAAUCGAGCUG
Molecule: ribosomal RNA, 188 nt
Filed under: Candidatus Omnitrophota bacterium
Lineage: Bacteria; Pseudomonadati; Candidatus Omnitrophota
Description: partial 16S ribosomal RNA
Rfam family: Bacterial small subunit ribosomal RNA
Source: RNAcentral